GUUGUGGGCGGGGCUAAAUUCGACUGGCAUCCAGGCUAGGUACCUUUGUAAAAAUGUGGAUAAGUAUUUGU
This is a long non-coding RNA of Etheostoma cragini (Arkansas darter), 71 nucleotides long. RefSeq lists it as uncharacterized. NCBI's taxonomy places the organism in Eukaryota, Metazoa, Chordata, Actinopteri, Perciformes, Percidae. The transcript is spliced from 3 exons. The record is from RefSeq and is a predicted model, not a curated record.